CUGGGGUAACUGAUCAUGAUUACCAAGGGGAAUCCUGGCAUUGCCUAAUUUUAGCAAGAUUCCUGUUAAGUCAGUUUAGCUAGAAUCUCCCAGCCUCAAUAUCUGAUCACCCUUGAUAUCUGAUCAAAUUCCUCAUCUUGUACUAUCCCCCACGUAAUAUUUGAUCACCCUCACCUGCCUUCAGCAAGAAUCUUGUCAGGUCAGUUUAGUAACAAUCCCCCUUUACCCCUGAUGUUUCCUCGCAUUAGUCAUUUUCCAUCGACUGGCCCCACUCUGCUCCUGGGCUAUAUUUAUAAAUCCCCACUUGUCCACGUUGUAUUUGGAAUUGAGCCCAGUUCUAUACCGAAGUAUCUUUUCCCCUAUUGUAAUAGUUCUGAAUAAAAUCUAUUUUCACUGCUUUAACUAUUGUCCAGCUCUGGUUUUCUUUGACAGUUUUGGUGCUACAACUCGGAUAAGAUCAGACUGAUCACUGGACCCCAGACUUCUCACUCAGAAUCUGAAGUAUGCACCUUCGAAGCCUUUGUCUUCACUCCUGACUGAUUGGGGACCCAUUGAUGAGUCCAACUCCUGAGCCUCUGGAUGACAGUCCACUGAAGCACAAAGAAUUCCAGCUGAGAAAUGCUAAUAAAAGCAAUGAUCACGAGGCCAGGUGCAGUGACUCAUGCCUGUAAUUCCAGCACUUUGGGAGGCCAAGGUGG
This 698-nucleotide long non-coding RNA is filed under the name Homo sapiens (human). RNAcentral describes it as "HSALNT0282382". The record is from RNAcentral. Lineage: Eukaryota; Metazoa; Chordata; Mammalia; Primates; Hominidae.